Hydnum rufescens UP504 is the source of this 81-nucleotide non-coding RNA. The record is from the annotation of a GenBank genome assembly. Lineage: Eukaryota; Fungi; Basidiomycota; Agaricomycetes; Cantharellales; Hydnaceae.
GGAUGCGUGGCGCAGUGGUAGCGCGUCUGCUUUACAUUUCUUGUGCGCAGUCGGUCGUAGGUUCGAACCCUGCCGCAUUCA